GACGUAGGGGACGAGCGUUGUCCGGAUUCAUUGGGCGUAAAGCGCGCGUAGGCGGUUCGGUAAGUCGGGUGUGAAAACACGAGGCUCAACCUCGUGCGUGCAUCCGAUACUGCCGGACUAGAGGUAGGUAGGGGAGAUCGGAAUUCCUGGUGUAGCGGUGAAAUGCGCAGAUAUCAGGAGGAACACCGGUGGCGAAGGCGGAUCUCUGGGCCUUACCUGAGGCUCAGGCGCGAAAGCUAGGGGAGCGAACAGG
This 253-nucleotide ribosomal RNA is filed under the name uncultured bacterium. RNAcentral describes it as "partial 16S ribosomal RNA". It matches the Rfam family "Bacterial small subunit ribosomal RNA", at positions 524 to 776 of the family's 1533-position model. The record is from RNAcentral.